RNAcentral lists this ribosomal RNA (465 nucleotides) under uncultured bacterium. RNAcentral's name for it is "partial 16S ribosomal RNA". It matches the Rfam family "Bacterial small subunit ribosomal RNA", at positions 338 to 795 of the family's 1533-position model. The record is from RNAcentral.
CCUACGGGAGGCAGCAGUGAGGAAUAUUGCGCAAUGGGCGAAAGCCUGAAGCAGCGACGCCGCGUGAGGGAUGAAGGUCUUCGGAUCGUAAACCUCUGUCAGCAGGGAAGAACGGUCACUGUGCUAAUCAGCAGUGAAUUGACGGUACCUGCAAAGGAAGCACCGGCUAACUCCGUGCCAGCAGCCGCGGUAAUACGUAGGGUGCGAGCGUUAAUCGGAUUUACUGGGCGUGAAGCGCUCGUAGGCGGUAUGUCAAGUCAAGGGUGAAAUACCCGCGCUCAACGUGGGAACUGCCUUGGAAACUGGCAAACUUGAGUGGGUGGGAGGAUAGUGGAAUUCCAGGUGUAGGAGUGAAAUCCGUAGAUAUCUGGAGGAACAUCAGUGGCGAAGGCGACUAUCUGGCACAUAACUGACGCUGAGGAGCGAAAGCGCGGGUAGCAAACAGGAUUAGAUACCCUUGUAGUC